RNAcentral lists this non-coding RNA (30 nucleotides) under Homo sapiens (human). The record is from RNAcentral. Lineage: Eukaryota; Metazoa; Chordata; Mammalia; Primates; Hominidae.
CCACGGCAAAACUCUUGAUGGGCUUUUUGU